This 71-nucleotide transfer RNA is filed under the name Ovis aries (sheep). It matches the Rfam family "tRNA". From Rfam's summary of the family: Transfer RNA (tRNA) molecules are approximately 80 nucleotides in length. Their secondary structure includes four short double-helical elements and three loops (D, anti-codon, and T loops). The record is from Rfam by way of RNAcentral. Lineage: Eukaryota; Metazoa; Chordata; Mammalia; Artiodactyla; Bovidae.
GCCUGGCUAGCUCAGUCGGUAGCGCAUGAGACUUAAUCUCAGAGUUGUGGGUUCAAGCCCCAUGUUGGGCU